Molecule: transfer RNA, 77 nt
Filed under: Caudoviricetes sp.
Lineage: Duplodnaviria; Heunggongvirae; Uroviricota; Caudoviricetes
Description: tRNA-Cys
Rfam family: tRNA
About the family: Transfer RNA (tRNA) molecules are approximately 80 nucleotides in length. Their secondary structure includes four short double-helical elements and three loops (D, anti-codon, and T loops).
Source: RNAcentral
GGGCAGAUACUCAAGCGGAUUAAGAGGUUGGUCUGCAACACCAAUAUUCAUGAGUUCGAAUCUCAUUCUGCCCUCCA